GACUCUCGACAACGUAUAUCUUGGCUCUCGCAUUGAUGAAGAACGUAGUGAAAUGCAAUACUUGGUGUGAAUUAUAGAAUCCCGUGAACCAUCGAGUCUUUAAACGCAAGUUAUGCCUGAAGCCAUCCGGCCGAGGGCGCGUCUGCCUGGGCGUC
RNAcentral lists this ribosomal RNA (155 nucleotides) under Cornus kousa. Its description in RNAcentral is "partial 5.8S ribosomal RNA". It matches the Rfam family "5.8S ribosomal RNA". From Rfam's summary of the family: 5.8S ribosomal RNA (5.8S rRNA) is a component of the large subunit of the eukaryotic ribosome. Lineage: Eukaryota; Viridiplantae; Streptophyta; Magnoliopsida; Cornales; Cornaceae. The record is from RNAcentral.